RNAcentral lists this unclassified non-coding RNA (3470 nucleotides) under Limulus polyphemus (Atlantic horseshoe crab). RNAcentral's name for it is "cOUP transcription factor 2, transcript variant X3". The record is from RNAcentral. Lineage: Eukaryota; Metazoa; Arthropoda; Merostomata; Xiphosura; Limulidae.
AUUUUUCUAUACUUAAUUAGAAGUUAGAAGUGUUUUUAUUAUUUCUCUACGUACUUAGCGGGUUUAAAUGAUAAUUUCUUCCCCCAGCUGUUCAGCGAGGACGUUUGCCGCCAACACAGCAUAGCCUUCCGGGUCAGAUGGCUUUGACCAACGGAGACGCCUUGAAUGGUCAUUCGUACCUGUCCAGCUUCAUCUCGCUCCUGCUGAGAGCAGAACCCUACCAGCCAUCUCGGUAUGCUCAGUGUAUGCAACCUAAUAACUUCAUGGGAAUUGAUAAUAUCUGUGAAUUAGCGGCUCGCUUGUUGUUCAGUGCAGUCGAGUGGGCAAGAAAUAUCCCGUUCUUUCCCGACCUUCAAGUAACUGACCAAGUGGCUCUACUCCGACUCGUUUGGAGCGAACUCUUUGUGUUGAAUGCCUCUCAAUGUUCUAUGCCUCUACACGUGGCGCCCCUACUGGCGGCCGCUGGACUACACGCCUCACCCAUGGCGGCGGACCGUGUGGUGGCGUUCAUGGACCACAUUCGCAUCUUCCAGGAACAGGUAGAGAAGUUAAAGGCUCUUCACGUUGAUGCUGCCGAAUACAGCUGUUUGAAGGCGAUCGUUCUCUUCACGACAGACGCCUGUGGCAUCUCGGACGUCGGGCACAUCGAGAGCUUACAGGAAAAAUCCCAGUGUGCUCUGGAGGAGUACUGUAGGACACAGUACCCCAACCAGCCUACUCGGUUCGGUAAGCUUCUCCUUCGCUUGCCUUCCCUAAGGACCGUCAGCUCCCAAGUGAUAGAGCAACUGUUUUUUGUACGGCUGGUGGGAAAGACACCUAUAGAAACCCUCAUAAGGGACAUGUUGUUGAGUGGCAGCUCUUUCAACUGGCCCUACAUGCCACUGCAGUGACCCUUGUAGAGGUCAUGAUCACAUUUUCAAUAUGCCCCAUCUCUUGUGGUGAUCAUUCCUCACUGAAGAUAGACAAUAUUUAGUAUGAAAAUCCAUCAGCACGUCUGGAUCCUAAUGCUAUUCUUUAUGGAAAAUGAAGAAAGUGAAGAGUACCGUCGAGAAACCGUGGUUUUUCCGGCCCCAAAAGUUCAAGGCUCAGUUCAAGUCAAUUACUUAUUGCAACAAUGUUUAGAAUAAGUACUGAAGAUAAACUUGAUGUAUAUACGCGUUGCCAGGACACAACACAUCAUAUAUUACUAUACGCGUUGCCUGGACACAACGCACUAUAUAUAUUACAAUAUGCGUUGUCUACAAACGACUCGUCAUAUUUUACUUAUAGUGGGGAAAAAAAAUUAAAACAUUUGAAACAUCAAAUUACUGUUUUGUCAGCGCUGUAUAGAGUAGUUUUUAUCAUUUGAACAUUUUGUUUUCGUUAACAAGAGAAAUACGUCGAAAUUGCUUUUAUGACAUGGAGUUGUGCUACGCAAGUUACAGAACAUUUUAUAAUCAUGACAAGUUCUUCUUCAUUAAGGCAGUUUUGAAGAAAACAGUUUAUAAUUUAAACAUGUCUACUUGUCUAAAAUCACGCUGUAAUGUAAAAAAAAAAGAAUUAUAUGCCGGUGAAAGUUUUAUUUCAGGUUUUAGCUGUCUCAAGAAUUACUCCUUUUGACUUAUUGCUUUGGUUAGUGAAAAUCUACAAUGUAGCCAGUUAUUCAAACAGAUUUUUUUUUUCUGUCCACAAAAUGUUGCCAUAAAAUGAUAGUUUAUUAAUUAUGUUUCCAAGACAGGUCGCUGACGUAAUAAGUGUUUUUAUAAAAUAUUGAUAACAUUUUGUUUUAGACGCUGAUAUCUAGUUGUACAUUGUUUAUAUCUAAGUGUUGUUGGGAGAAAGAGCUCUGACAUACAUAAUGUCUUCAUUCAAUUACUGAAACGUAAAUCCCUCUCUCAAUUAAAGCCUGAAAAACAAAUGUGUAAUGAGUAAAAACCCCAUCUUUCUAGACGACGUCAGUUAGUUACAGAAAUAUAUCUGGCCAACAUCUAAAUAAAAACAUGCAUAUCUUCAACUGACACACGUGCAGUAUAUUUAUAAAUCAAAAGAAGGACGUGAGGAAACGAGAUAUGGCGAGAAGUUGAUGUUUGGCUUGAAUAAGCGCCUCAGACGAAACGUUUCUUCAGGAAGUUGUCUGUUUCUUGUGAGAAACACAACGUUAAACGACAACGAACCAAUUAUAACUAGAAAUACAUUUUUGGUUAAUUAUUGACAUUGUUCUCUACAUGUUAAACGAGGAGACAUUUAUCUUCUUCUUUUUAGAGGCGACGUUAAGGUCAGCCAGCAGGUCUAAUCAAAACCUUAGGCGACGUUAAGGUCAGCCAGUAGGUCUAAUCAAGGCCCUAGGCGACGUUAAGGUCAGCCAGUAGGUCUAAUCAAGGCCCUAGGCGACGUUAAGGUCAGCCAGCAGGUCUAAUCAAAACCUUAGGCGACGUUAAGGUCAGCCAGCAAGUCUAAUCAAGGCCUUUUCCAAGAUUAAAAUGUCUCCAGUCAAAACCAAUUAAGGACGGAUGUAGUCCACUGUACUUGAAAAAAAAAAUAAAUCAUAAUAUGCUUGUGUAUCAUCACUUGAGGUCGGCACUGCUAGAAUGUUGUAGGAUUCACAUGAUAUCUGACCAGCCACAUUUUGAAAGAGUAUAUUUCAUAUUUUGAAUGAGCAAAUUGAAGAAUAUUAUUCUGAAGGUUUUCAAAUAAAUUCUUAAAGUAUUUAUAAUAAAGCAAUGUGUCCUUUUUUUGUGAGGACCACACUAGGUUUUAACCUCGUCAUUACAUAAAACGAGCAAUCUUAUUAUUAAACUAAAUAACGACGUUCGUGUUAGGUUGUUAUGAGGACAUAAGGACCACACUAGGUUUUAACCUCGUCAUUACAUAAAACGAGCAAUCUUAUUAUUAAAUUAAAUAACGACGUUCGUGUUAGGUUGUUAUGUUGUCCUAGACGAAAAAAUUAUGGUUGUCACCGAAUUAGAUUGUAUAUUGCCCAAGGCAACAUAUUUGGGUUGUCACCGUGUUAGAAGUUGCUAUGUUUUCCAAAACAUCAAUCAACUUAUGGUUGGCACCAUGAUACGUUGUCACGGCGUUCAAGACAUCAACUUGUGGUUGUCACCAUGUUAGGUUUCCACGGCGUUCAAGACAUCAACUUGUGGUUGUCACUAUGUUAGGUUUCCACGGUGUUCAAGACACCAACUUAAGGUUGUCACUAUGUUAGGUUUCCACGGUGUUCAAGACAUCAACUUAAGGUUGUCACUAUGUUAGGUUUCCACGGUGUUCAAGACAUCAACUUAAGGUUGUCACUAUGUUAGGUUGCCAGGUUCCCAAGGUCUUCAAGAAAUCACCAGUAGAAUGAUCUCUAAGUUUGUUUUAAUAUUCGAGAAAGUAUUUUUUGUCUUUUAUAUCAUUCAAAUUUUUGUAUUACACAAAUAAAAUUGUUUCGACGAGGUUUUAACAUUUAUCUAGACACGUGGCAAAAAAAUAAAUAAACAAAUGAAAUAUGA